AUUGAGUCCAUCCCCUUGUUCCUCCUCCAUAUUAAUCACGUGUUGGGCAGGUCCAACUUGGUGUGCAGCAGUUUGUGUUUUAACCUCAACAUUUGACUGCCUGUUCUCAACAAAGUGUGGAUGUUUGUAAGGAAGCUUGUGAGUACCAUCCAAAUUAAGUUCCUUACCAGUGUUUUUGUCCACCAAAGUAGCAGAACCCACAAUAGCAGGGGACUGUCGAGCAUCCUGGAACUUGUUCACAGUGCCUCGUGUUGUGUGAGCAAUGGUGCUGGCUUGGGGAACAUCCUGAGGGAUGGGUUGCACUUCUCUUGGUUUGGGAAAAGCAGAGAUGAAAGUGGACAAGUAACUCUGCAGGUCACCAAGGGUCUUGUGCAGAGACUGAAAAUUAUCAUGCACAAAAUCUCUCAACUCAUCAAACUCUAGCCGAUUCUGCUCUCUGUUUUUCUGCAUCAUCUGGACAUCAAGUUGCAGGGAGGUGAACUCCAGCUGAUCUGUGGAAGAGGAGUCGGAUGGUCCUACCAUCUUUUGCAUGAGAGAACGCAGGGAGGGUUUCUAGUUGGUGGUGAGCCAAGUACCUCACUGCGGUGACCAACAAGCGCAAGGAGAGGAAUUUUACCACGACCGAAGCUGCAACCCGAUCUUUGUGCUGUUAGUCCUGCCGCCUCCUGCACCGCCGCCUUUGGCGCGCCACCAGAGUACACCGGAUCCCGGAGGGUGGUGGGAUUUUACCGCGCAAGCAGGUAGCUUUUGAAACCACUAACCUCACCAUACCAGUACUGAAUGAUCGCCGCCACAAGUGCCAGCAGAGUAUCACCGUCGCCGUGAUAGGGAGGGAGGGAGAGGGAUUUUACAACUCGUCCCACAUCAUCCCUGCCACCAGAUCCAAAAAAACACCGAGGAGAGACUGGCUCUGAAUACCAUUAUCAGACCUUGCUAGUCUGAAGAACUGAACAUAGAAGAAAUGCACUCGAACUAGCCGUCUUUACUCGCGAAUUUAAGGAAGUAGCUUGGGAGCUGGUACAAGGUUGCCAACCAGGAACACUGGCGGCGCAAUAGGGGGAAACCCUAGAAGAAUGUCAUGCCCUGAUCGAGCUGGAAUCAUGGCUUAUAUAGACUUACAAAAGCGAGGAACGGUAAAGCUAAAACGAAAACAAAAAUGAAAAGCGUGCCGGAUGAACGACAGUAACGCCCGACGCUGGGAUCGCCGUUCGAUCGAGGAUCAACGGUUGUCGGGGCCUUUCAUUCAGCAAAGCGGCACGGAAGCCUGGGAGGCGUUGGAUCAGUGAUGGACGGUCGUGGUUGCUUCCCGCCAAGGUUCUUCAUUUGAAAUGUUUCGACUGAAUCUGAAUUCAGACACUGGGUCCUGACAACCGUCCAUGCUUCUCAUAAUGUUAUUACCAUGUCUAUAGCUUACGUACAUAAGUGCUACACUAAUAAUGUGGUGUAGCAGGUAUUGAUUCCAAUGGAGUAAGGGUACCAAGUGGCUAUUGUAGCAUACCGGCGUUCCGGCUUUCGCAUGUUGUUAUAUCCAACAGUGGUGUUACUCGUGUAGCUCCUAGCCUCGAUACUAUAUGUACCUCCGAAGAAUCUUAUUCAUCUAAACUACAUGUAAUUAGUACGUCUUGACUUCUAAAAAAAAUCAUCAUGUCAUGUUAUUUAUUUUUUCUCUUGUAGGCUAGUUCGCAAGAGAUCUGCUUGUAUUGCGUCGCGUUGGUCAUCUUCUUUUGAAAUUAUCUUAUACUGAUAUUCGUCUACCGAGACACCUCUACAUACUGAAAUGAUCAAGGAUGACAAGAAAGCAACUAAUGUACUAGGAUGUGCAGGAAUGUCUACAAGGAAAAGAAGCAAUUAUCUUUGGUUUUAGAAAAUAACGACACAAAGCAUGAAGGUUCGAAGCGAACUAUCUAAUCAUGGGGACCAACAACAACAAGAAGAGCCCAAGAUCUGGAGACGCAAAGCAUUAUGUGAUGAAGAGAACGCUGAUAAAGCAUGAUGGUCGUAAGCAAUCCAUCCAAACUUGACAGCCAAGAGAAAAUCAUCUAGAGUGCUGACAAACAACAAGCUACUCCAUCAACUUUUAGUUAGACAGUGUACUAUGCUCAUCCGUUGUACUUUUUUCACAACAAUUAACAAAUGAUAUUUUUUGUGACUCAUGUGUUCUGGGUGAUUAUUAAGAUGGUCAAAAUUAUGAUUUGUCCAGAUUGAUGUGUUUAUAAACUUGGGUUCAAUGUAUAUUCAUGUUUGUGAACA
This is a long non-coding RNA of Hordeum vulgare subsp. vulgare (domesticated barley), 2250 nucleotides long. RefSeq lists it as uncharacterized. NCBI's taxonomy places the organism in Eukaryota, Viridiplantae, Streptophyta, Magnoliopsida, Poales, Poaceae. The transcript has 2 exons. The record is from RefSeq and is a predicted model, not a curated record.